This 375-nucleotide ribosomal RNA is filed under the name uncultured bacterium. RNAcentral's name for it is "bacterial SSU rRNA". It matches the Rfam family "Bacterial small subunit ribosomal RNA", at positions 523 to 898 of the family's 1533-position model. The record is from RNAcentral.
ACACGUAGGGGGCAAGCGUUGUCCGGAAUUACUGGGCGUAAAGGGCGUGUAGGCGGCCAUGUAUGUCAGGUGUGAAAAGCCACGGCUUAACCGGGGCACUGCACAUGAAACUGCAUGGCUUGAGUGCAGGAGAGGGGAGUGGAAUUCCUAGUGUAGCGGUGAAAUGCGUAGAUAUUAGGAGGAACACCAGUGGCGAAGGCGACUUCCUGGACUGUAACUGACGCUGAGGCGCGAAAGCGUGGGUAGCAAACAGGAUUAGAUACCCUGGUAGUCCACGCUGUAAACGAUGGGUACUAGGUGUGGGUAGUUCACUCUAUCCGUGCCGCAGCAAACGCAAUAAGUACCCCGCCUGGGGAGUACGGCCGCAAGGUUGAA